ACGGGAGGCAGCAGUGGGGAAUAUUGGGCAAUGGGCGCAAGCCUGACCCAGCAACGCCGCGUGAAGGAAGAAGGCUUUCGGGUUGUAAACUUCUUUUGUCAGGGAAGAGCAGAAGACUGUACCUGAUGAAUAAGCCACGGCUAACUACGUGCCAGCAGCCGCGGUAAUACGUAGGUGGCAAGCGUUGUCCGGAUUUACUGGGUGUAAAGGGCGUGUAGGCGGGACAUCAAGUCAGAUGUGAAAGCACGAGGCUCAACUUCGUGUCUGCAUUUGAAACUGACGUUCUUGAGUGUUGGAGAGGCUAACGGAACUCCUAGUGUAGCGGUGAAAUGCGUAGAUAUUAGGAAGAACACCAGUGGCGAAGGCGGUUAGCUGGACAAUAACUGACGCUGAGGCGCGAAAGCGUGGGUAGCAAACAGGAUUAGAUACCCUGGUA
The sequence is a ribosomal RNA, 436 nucleotides long. It matches the Rfam family "Bacterial small subunit ribosomal RNA", at positions 341 to 792 of the family's 1533-position model.